GCUGCAGACCGCCUUGCUGAGGAGGUUCUGCAGCGCUGCAGGUUAUGGCUGGGAUUAUCCAGACACUGAGUUCAGAGACAUCCCCCUGUGCUUCCCGCAGUUCCUCUGUGGUAGACUGCUGCUUAUGGUGCUGACUGAUGACAACUUCAGGCUCAGCCCAGCAGGUCUGGUUCCUGUGUGUCAGACUUUGAAAACCUUUCAGCCAAUUGAUGAGCUUAAGAAGGGUCCAUUCAUGCUGCAAGUUCAAGUCCUGGAGUACCGGCACGUUGGUGCAGGGGUGGAGGUGGACAUCUGCAUCUCUGCCACGGCUCGAACCGGGUGCCCAGUGUGGGAGAGCAUCCUUACAUUGUUGUCCAAAUUCAAGCUCCACAAAGACACCAGAUGUUUCCCCAUGAAUGAAAACAAGAGUGGGCAACAAUCUGACCAACCAGAUGAGCCUGUGCCAGAAACCAUGAAGCAGGUAGAGGUCAGAGUUCCCUGGAGUUCUGGCCUGCAGUAUCUGUGGUCGCCCUGUGACUGCUCCCCCUAUGGGCUUAUCUCUCUACCAGCAAGGCUCUUUGGAUACAGGUCACAUACCACACCGAGUCUCUGGAUGCUGUCUGUCUGCUUGGCUGAAAUUGAAAAGCACAAGGGUGUUGAAGUCAUCACAGCUCCUGUCAGCAUCACAGCCCAGUUUAAGGAGCCUUUGUUGGUACCGGGCAAAGCAACAAUCACAUUUUGGGAGAAGAUUAAAGACGAGGGUCAGUCUUCUUUCCAAGGCCUCAACUUUCGCAUGCAGCAACAUGGUAGCAAAAUAUGUCACCUGGGGGAGGAAAGGGGGUGUGACAAAUCUCUUGUUUCUAGACAUCCAGACAGAGAGAGAAAUCAGUUUUCAGCAGCUGUACUGGAGAUCAGAGGGACAUGCACUGGGUUAUUCCACCUAUACCAUGUGAUUUUCUUUACAGGGACAUCUGGAGGGCUCAAGGUAAAAGCUUUUACAGAUAUCUGAAUUUAAGUGGAUUUUGGUGAAAACAGAUUUUAGCACAUAUGAUCCCGUAUCUGUUUUUGGGAAAUAACUGCUAAAUAGCAUAAUAGUCUAGUUAGUGUAUAUAGCAUUACAUGUGUUGAGUAGUAUUUAAUAUAUUUGCUAAAAAGUGCUCUUUGUUCACUCUACAAGAGGAACUUCUGCAUGAAAUAUGUCCCCUAAUAUUUAGCUAUUAAGUUAUUUAUAAGGUAAGUCUUACAGCAGAGUUCAUUUAAAAUAUAAGUUAGAUGACAGAAAUGUUGGCAUAAAGAAACCCAUUAGAGAGUAGAACAGUUAACAUGAAGUAUUUGAGAUACAACUGUGUAGUUUCUCUUCACCCUGCCACUGAUUUCCUUCUGCCACAGUUAAAGCUGUUGUGAUGUAGCCACUUCUUUCCUGUAGCCACCAAACCAAAGCAGUAAUGCAGCGAGUGUCUUUAAAUCGUAUCUAUUGUUCAUCUUCUGUUGCUCAGUCACCACCAUGAGCUGCAGUGAAGUACACUGACACUCAUUCGAACGUGUACAUUUAUGUUAUUACUCAUUUAUAGAGUCCCGAUUCUGUCACGCAUACAGUCCUAGUCAUAGAGUCAGUCAAGUGUAAGAAGGUCAGUCCGUUAAGCUCCUGUAUUACUGUAUCUUAACACAUCGGGCCUUUAACUCAUGUACUUAUUGUAAAUGUCUAGUUUCUCUUAAUGUAAUUAGGAAUUUAAAAAAUGGUGUUUAAAAAGUGUUUUAUAAAGCUAAAUUUAAACAUUGAAAUCCAAGAUGAAGCUCUGAAAUCCUGUUUCUGUCUGGUGAUGAGAAGGGAUGUGUGUGUGUUUGUGUGUGUGUUUUAAAUGAUGCACACACCCGUUCCUUGGUUAAAGCACUUUAGGAGAGUUCGCCUGUCUCCUUCUUCAAAGAGUUGAUCCCCAGGGAAUUAAGUUAUUUUUUGCUUCUUCUAAAAGUACUAGCUUCAUUUAUUUAUUCAUAGGGGCCAAUACUAAAUGUCAGCUUGUUCUCUGUUACCAGAUCACUGUUGUUCAUAAAAUAACUCCACUGCGCUCAUUGUUACCUGCUGACGUCCUUGUGUUAACUAGAAAUGUGAAAAAUAUUUAUACUGAACAUUUAUACCAGGGUUGGGGUAUAUAUGAGAAAUUGUCUGUCACUCAGUAUUUUUUAUUGAUAUAAUAACGAUUUACAGACAAGGGAAAUGUUAAAGGAAAAUUUUGAAAAAGAAAUAAUUAAAUGAGUCAGAAAACAUGGUGGAUGUAGAUGCUUCCAGAGAAAGCUCAAUGAAUGGUUAGAAUAUGAAAAUCCCUAGAGUUCGAUCAAUCUGGUUAGAAGUAACUGAUAGAUACAAUAGUAUAUAUUGACAGUCUGUCCUGAUGUGGUUGUUUCCCGAGUUUCCAUUUGGACUUUUAUUUUGGUUUCUGGUUUCCUUUUCCAGGCCUAUGUGUUUUUGGUAGCUUUAUUUCUCGAACAGGGAUUUCGUUGUUUUUGUGCCUGAGCCCUGGGAGAUCCAGGUGAAAUAAAUAUUCUUUUGUGUCCUGCAUUUGGGUCCUACGCCUGUCCUUCUCCAGCACACUACCGCACGUGACAGAGUCAUAACUUCCACCAUAAAGACCAUUUUCCAUUCACUUGUAAUUAUCAUGAAAUCUUUAACCUUAUAUGAAGGUUUGGUAUAUAAUACAAUGAGAAUGAGCUUUCACAAAAUCUUCUGAUUUGUUUUCAUGUAGCAAAGGAAAACACAUGGCGAGGCAAAGAAACAGCGACACUGCCAGCAUCCCUCUCUCCUCUCCGACAGGGAGCAUCGGUGUGGAGGUUUACCAUGAUUACCAGGAGGUGGAUUUUAUGAUGUAUCCUGAGAAUGGCCAUGUCACAGAGAACAGGAGAGACCAGGUCACCGGUCGAGAUCACACCGGCAAGAUGCCAGACAUCCGACAGUACAGCCUGAAUAACGAGGCUGUUCACAGGAACUCCACAUUAAUAAUGGGUUGGAGCAGCCUGGCCUCCUCAGGGCCAGAGGACGACUCCACAGACCCACAUGAGACCCUGACAGAGACUUCAACUCUGACGUUUGUGGACACCCAUCCCAUGGAGGAAUCAGCAGAGAAUCACAGUCUGCAUGGGGUGGGAAUGGUUUACCUCAAGGGGUUUGUGCUGAUAGAUGAUGAUGAUGAUGGAGACAUGUCGCUGAGAGAGAAAACAGUGACAGACAUGUCCAUCAUGGACGGAAGAGCUGCAGACCUGGUUUGUGGGAAGUUGUUGUCCACCUCUAGUGGCUCAGUAGAUUAUAAGGACAAAUCUCCUGCUUGUGACGCACCUCUACCCAAGGACGGAAAUGCACAUGGAAAGAAACACUGCUGUUUCUGCACCAUUUUAUGACCCAGAAGGAGGUCAUAUGUUGUCAACCUGCUGCAGACUGUGUAUUCAAGAUCAGGACUGUGAUGCUGACCUCUGUGUUCUGAGCACUCUAAUGAAACAUACUGGGCUGAGACACUCACAGCACAUUUACAGCUAUGAUGACUUGUUUUUUAUUCAAGAUUAAGAAACAUAGCGAGGGAUGGAUGGAUGUGAUGAAAUAUUGAUUCUGAUAAUGCAUGUUUCUGUAAUAUUUGAUCUGAAAGAAAGACUUUAUAAUACACCAGGACUGGAA
This 3640-nucleotide long non-coding RNA is filed under the name Mastacembelus armatus (zig-zag eel). RNAcentral describes it as "lncRNA (ENSMAMG00000026102.1)". Lineage: Eukaryota; Metazoa; Chordata; Actinopteri; Synbranchiformes; Mastacembelidae. The record is from RNAcentral.